Molecule: transfer RNA, 67 nt
Filed under: Trichuris trichiura (human whipworm)
Lineage: Eukaryota; Metazoa; Nematoda; Enoplea; Trichinellida; Trichuridae
Description: tRNA-Ile
Source: RNAcentral
UAAGCAGAACCUAAUUUUAUAGGGUUACAGUGAUAGUGUAAUUAAGUGUUUGACUUGCUUAAAUUAU